Molecule: ribosomal RNA, 253 nt
Filed under: uncultured bacterium
Lineage: Bacteria
Description: partial 16S ribosomal RNA
Rfam family: Bacterial small subunit ribosomal RNA
Source: RNAcentral
UACGGGGGGAGCAAGCGUUGUUCGGAUUUACUGGGCGUAAAGGGCGCGUAGGCGGUGCCACAAGUCACUUGUGAAAUCCCCGGGCUUAACUCGGGGCCUGCAGGCGAAACUGUGGUGCUGGAGUAUGGCAGAGGGGGGUGGAAUUCCGCGUGUAGCAGUGAAAUGCGUAGAGAUGCGGAGGAACACCGAUGGCGAAGGCAGCCCCCUGGGCCAAUACUGACGCUCAGGCACGAAAGCGUGGGGAGCAAACAGG